This 773-nucleotide long non-coding RNA is filed under the name Trifolium pratense (red clover). RNAcentral describes it as "long non-coding RNA (TPRA_LNC009584)". The record is from RNAcentral. Lineage: Eukaryota; Viridiplantae; Streptophyta; Magnoliopsida; Fabales; Fabaceae.
UUUUCAAAAAUUUCAGGUUGUCCACAUAACAGCCCUCAAUAUUUUAUUUUCUUAAACCAAUUUUUAUUUUCAAAAAUUUAUUCCAUGACAGGAUAAAGAAAUUGGCCACUGGAGAUUCAGCUGUAUCUUGUCCUUUCCAUGGAGGCCUAUUCUUUCUGGUAAAUUUCAAGCCUAUCUAUUUUUGUAUAUUGUAUUUAUUUAUUAUCUGCGUUUCAUUUCAAUGGAACCUCACGAAAUUUCUUUAUUUUUCAUACUAUAGGUUGAAGGCUCAAAUUAAAAUGAGUCAGAUUUUUAAUAGAAUAUGUGGCAAUUACAAAAUGCUUAUGCAGCAGAAAGCAACAAAAAGAAGCUUAAAUUAUAUUGUAUGAAACACAAUUUGACCAUGUUAAUAUAUGCUGCAGCAACUGGAUACACAGAAUAUUACUUUGAUACAUAAUUAUUUGUUAUAUUAUUGAGAUUCAUCAAAAUUAACGGUUUAUAGGUUUUUAUUGAAUACCAUUAAUUUUGAUUGGUCUUAAUAACAUAUCAAGUUAUUUUCAAAAAAUUUAUAGAUGAUCUAUAUGAUAUAAACUUUCAAUCUAACGGUGAAUUUUAUAAAAUUUGUAUUCGUUAUUGUUGGAAAUUACCUUUGAAUUGAUGAAAAAAGCAGAAAACUAGUUUCACUGCUGCCAUUUGCGCAUGAGGCGCAGAAGCAGCCUCAGUUGCUGCCAUUGAUGUGAACUUGGAAGACAAGGACAAGGCAUUUCAUUUGUUGUGUGCUUUGCCCAAGCCGC